This 1476-nucleotide long non-coding RNA is filed under the name Numida meleagris (helmeted guineafowl). RNAcentral describes it as "lncRNA (ENSNMEG00000023077.1)". Lineage: Eukaryota; Metazoa; Chordata; Aves; Galliformes; Numididae. The record is from RNAcentral.
ACGCCUAACUGCUGCUGUGCCACGGUCUGCGCCCCCCGGGUUCUCGCUGCUGCAGUGGAGUCGGAGGACGGCUCGGCGCUGCACGGAGGGGUACGGCUCCGCAGCCCCCCCGUCCGCUGCCGCACCGGGGCUGCCGCCCGCCGUCGCCCCCAUCCACGGUUCCCCGGCCCCGGGGCCGCCCCGCACACGGGGGGCGGGGAGCGCUCCGCAGCCCGAGAGGCGGCGGGGAGGGCGCGGAGCGGGGCUCCCUUUGCGGCACCCCGGCCCCGCGGUCUCCUCUCGGGCCGGAGGGGGUCGGAUAGAAGAGCGGGGGUCCCCCGGGCCGCCCUCGGGGAAAGGAAGGGGGGGAGGGGGGUGCGGCGGGAGCGGCGGCGGCCCCCUCCCCCUCCCGGCUCCAAGGACAUUUUGUUUUUCCUCCCAAGGACAAAGGACAAUGAGGAGCGGGGCGGCUCGGGCACUUACCGGCAACUGCAGCCCGCUGCCAGCCGACGAGGGCCCCGAGGACGGGGCGCCGCUGCCCUCCUCGCCCUGCCGGCGCCCGGGGGACGGCUCCGCGCCCGCCCGCCGAGGGCGAGGCUCGGGCAGGGCUCGGCAGCCCGGCGCCAUUGCCCUUCGCCCGUCGCAGCCCUUCGGCGGCUCUCCUGGCCGCGCUCCGUCGCGCCCAGAGACCCCGCAGCGCCGGGCCCGACGUGGCCGCUGAGCCCGGCACCCGGAGCGCCCGUCGGACCCCCCCGUUCCGAGCGGCGGGGAAAGCGCCCGGGAGCCGGGCGGCGGCGGCGGCUGCUUCCCCGGCCAUCUUGUGCCGUGUGUGUGAGGGAGUCUCUCCCGUCUCCUCUCAACUCCUUCCUCCCCUCCCCCCCGCACAACAUGGCCGCCCGCUCGCUACUCACUGCGGCGAGGAAGGGGCGGGGCCGCACCCCUGCCCCCUACCUACGGCGCGCAGCGCCCCCCCCCCCCCCCCCCCCCCCCCCCCCUUCGACUCCGCGUGCGCAGCGCGCCACUCUUCAUUGGCCGCGCCGCGCCCUCCCCGCCGGGACCGAGGGCGCGCACCGCUCCUAUUGGCCGCGCCGCGCCCUCCUUCGACCUCCCCACUCCGGACCCGCGCGCACCCCAGCCGCCGCCUCCCAUUGGCCGCGCGCACCGCCGCUCCCCGCCCCACAGGCCGCCGGCCGCUGUCCAUUGGCUCCUGCCCGCCUCCUCGCGCCCGCCCCGCUCGCCGCGGGCUCGCGCCCGUCCGCCCAGGCCUCCCCUCAGGGGGAAGGAGGCGGCGGGAGCCGGCUCUCAGAGCCCACCCCGGUGGCGGCCCCGGCCCCACCUGGCCGGGGCAUCCCCGGCUCCACCCAGCCUCGGCCCCGCUUGAGCUGGGCACCGCCUCUCCCCCAGACGGGGCUUCUACAGUCCUCUCAGGCGCUCUCGAAGUGCCUCAACUCUCAUUCGUCCUUGACGCAGGACAGCCUGCUUGUGCCUUUCCACUAG